Molecule: long non-coding RNA, 3707 nt
Organism: Epinephelus fuscoguttatus (brown-marbled grouper)
Lineage: Eukaryota; Metazoa; Chordata; Actinopteri; Perciformes; Serranidae
Exons: 3
Source: RefSeq, a predicted model, not a curated record
CUAGAAGGCUCACAUGUUGGCUAACGUCAUGACGAAUGCAUUUUAUGGCACAAGAGUUUGAAAAAAAAAUUACCUCACCAAAGACAUAACAAGGAAAGAUGUGGAAAAAGCAGUGCCAAAAUGGCUGAUUGGUGCCAGGGACAGGGGAUGCAACCGUGCCAUUAGAGCACAUGGAGGAGAGCAAAACCGGGGGGUGAAGCAGCAGACCAAACUGCAGAAAGCCAGGACUAGGGCUGUGUUCCUCCAUCUAUGUUACUUCCUGUAUGUUUCUGUGUGUUCCUGUUGCAGUGUUCCUCCAUCUAUGUUACUUCCUGUAAGUUUCUGUAUGUUCCUGUAUGUUCCUUAGCAGAAAGUGUUCCUGUUUGCUCUCCUUUUUUUUCUCCGUUUUUUUUUUUUCUCGUAGUUUCCAAUAAAUCGGACAAAUGUCAAUGUUGUUGGUGACACUUUAAAUGUAUUGGUAUUGAUGUAAAUGGUAUUGUUAAAAAAUUCUAGGAACAUUCACUGAGUGUUUUAAUUUCCUCGGAGUAGGAACAGAAACACAUUUGUUUUAUAAUUUUCAUGAAGGGAACAUUAAACUGAAAUCAUUCUGGUAACCUUCCUAUAAUGUUCAAUUAACCUUGGGAACAUCAGGAAAACUUGCUGUUUAUAAUUGUGUUUAAAACAUUCAAACAUUUUGGCAACCGUCCUAUAAUAUUCAACUUACUUUCGCAGAACAUUCUGGGAACAUCAAAAUAACCUUCUGGUUAUGUUAGGAAAACUUGCUAUUUUAACUUGGAAGGACUGUUUUACGAAGAACAUUCUGGUAACCUUCUUUAAACGUUCAAUUAACCUUCCAAGAACAUUCAGGGAACAUCAAUAUAACCUUCUGGUUCGCCAGGGCGUAAAACUAGCCAGGACUGCCUCUGGCACUGAUAUUUUUACCGUAACCAUCUUUUUUAUCUAUGGAAGCCCAUUUUCACCAAUGGAAAAAAAUCACCAAUCCUAAUCAAAAAUGUGAGAUAAAAAGUCAUAAUUAUGAAUGUAGCCUAGUUUUCAAAUUAAUUUGUGGCAUGUUGUCUUGUAAAGUGUGUGGCCUCACAGUGGCUGCAGAUGGGACAGAGGAUGAGAUGAUUCACUGUUCACAAGGCAGGACAACUAGUACACUGUGCUGUAGUAAAUAGUGUUGAUUUACAAAAACACCAAAAACUAUUUUUACUGUUAAAGUAAAGUUUGUUACUGUAAAUAAUACAGUACUUUAUUUGUAAUACUAUAUAGAAAAUAUACAUUUUUACUGUAAAGACAAGUUUACAUAAAUAUUUCUGCUGUUACAAUUAAAAAAAAAAUACAUUAUUUGUAUUUUCAAAUUUGGCUGGGAUUCUUUUUUUCUUUUAUUAAAAGCCUCCUUCAAACAGUAGCCUGUCCCUAUUUGUAGCCUGGUCCCAAAUUAUUUUUUUUUUAGCCCCGGCUACUAUUUGAGGAAAUACGGUAUGUAUGUAACAUACAGUCACUGGCCACUUUGUGUACACCUGUCUAAUCUAAUGCAAUCCAGUAGAACGAUUAUACCAUGAUUAUUUUCCCCGAAGCUUAUAAAUUUUAGGUUAUUGUUGACAUCGUCUAGAAAGUGGUGAUUCUACUUUGUUUAUUAUUGAGGUCAUAGUGAAUGGUGGUGGUGUACUGGGGUGGUCUCCUAAUUUUGUCUAAUUGAGGGGGACGAAUAUUAGGAACACUUUUAAAUAUACUGCACUCCAGUAAACCAACACCACCCACUACGACCUCAAUAAUAAAGUCGAAUAAUCACCUUUCUGACAAAAGCUGAAAAUGUAAAAUAUUUGUAAACGUACAAUGUGUGGCAGAGCUGUUGUAUUGUAAAAUGCCUCUAUAGCGCCCCCUUGAAAUUUUCAAAAAAAACCUUCCCAUGGGGGUUUUCUUGGAGUAGGAAGAUGAAAUGUCACACCACGUCAGGGUUAACUUACUCUGAGUUUUCACAUAAACACUUCAGUGAUGCGUGCUGCUGGCCCCCCGCGUUGACGCGGGAGAGCGAGGGCCUGAUCACAGCUGCUUGCAGCUUUAAUUGUAAUUGUAAUUGUAAUCUGUGCAUACAUGUGCUGUAUUGUCUAUAGUACACACAGUAUAUAGUCUAUGUAUAUACAAUAUGUUUGUUAGAAAUUAAUAUGCUAAGAUAUUUUUUGCCAAAUACAUAAAAAAAAUGAAACAGAUCUGCACCUUAUGUUCACUGGCAACAUUUUUUUUUCUUUUCUUAAGGAAGUGCUAUAUUAUGUAUUGCACAAAAUCGUCGUGUAGUCCUAUCUAUUGCUGAAAACCAUAAUGCUUUCCCAACAUUUACCAGGCAAUUUGAGUUGCCUGAACAUAAAAAAUUUAAGCCUGCUUUAAGAUUAAAUGUCCAGCGUGUAGGCUUUAUUGGCAUCACCGCUGUUUGCCAAGCAUGUAGGAGAACUACGGUGGCCAACACAAAAAACACAAAUGGACCUAUCAAGAGCCAGUGUUUGACUGGCCAUUCAGAGCUACUGUAGAAAUAACAUGGCAGACUAUGUGGAAGAGGACAUGGGCCAUAUGUAGAUAUAAACUGCUGGUGACAAAAACACAAUAGAUCUCUUUUUAGGUGAUUUUAAAGUGAUGAAAACAUAUUUCUGAAUAUUAUAUACCGUUUCUGCUAAUAAAUGCACUCAAGUCAUACGCAUUGGACCUUUAAGACGCUUUGUUUUCAUUGCAGGGUAAACACAACGAAAUCUGGUUUGGCAGCAAUUCACUCCACUUAGAAGCAUAUAUAAAUGUAUUGCGUAAUAUUGCGAAAAUUAGGCCUAUCCUGACCCGAAAAGAUGCAGAAAAAUUGGUCCACGCUUUUGUUACCUCUAGACUGGAUUACUGUAACUCCCAUUUAUAUAGCACACGAGUCAAAUGACUUCUCAAGGUGCUUCACAAUCCAAGAAGAUUAAAACACAUAAGUAGCAGUGAAACAACCUAACAGGCAAUCAAUCAAUCAAACAAAUAUGUAAAAGUACAAAACAACAAGUAAAUAACUAGAGUAAAAACAUAGGGGCAGAGAAUGGAACUCUGUCUUAUCCGAAAGCAGAAUGGAAUAAGUAAGUCUUGAGGCUGGUUUUGAAAGUGGCAAGGGAGUCUGAGGUCCUGAUGGAAACAGGCAGUUUAUUCCACAAGCGUGGCCCCGUAGAGGAAAAGGCAUAGUGUCCCAUGGUAGACAGUCUGGUGCGUGGAAUAGUGAGGAGGUUUUGGCUGUUUGACCUGAGGUCUCAGUUUUGUUUGUUUUUUUUUUUGUUUUUUUUUUCAAUUAUCUUUUUAUUUGUUUUUAACAUUUUACAAACACACUUAACAUAGGGAGAACAAGGGAAGAGUAAAGACAAAAAACAAAAGGACAGAUACAACAAAACAAAGACGUGAAAAAAGGGAAAAAAAAAUAUAAAAAGUAAAAAAUAGCAAAUUAAAUUAAACCAUGGUCACAGUUUGUAUGUCUCUGUUGUAUAUGGAAUCAAAGCAUGCCCAGCCAUGCUAGGUGGUUCCCAUAUUCGCAGGAAGGCAUCCCCCUUGUUUUUUAGGAUAUAUAUGUACGUUGUUCCAACCUUAAAGUCUCAUUUAGAAUUUGUUUAAACAAAUCAACUGUUGGAGGUCUUUGCUGAUUCCAGUUAAGUAGGAUGCAUUUCUUUGCUAUGUAGGAUAUUGUGCCGAUCCUCUUCGUGUAUGUGGGAUCUAGU